This 175-nucleotide non-coding RNA is filed under the name Desulfosporosinus sp. Lineage: Bacteria; Bacillati; Bacillota; Clostridia; Eubacteriales; Desulfitobacteriaceae. The record is from RNAcentral. RNAcentral also lists the same sequence under 1 other name.
AAAAAUAUUGUCAUUUUAGGUGCCCUUUGGGGAGAAUAGGGAAGUUCGGUUUAAACCGACGCGGACCCACCACUGUAUUCGAUGAGCUUCGUAAAUCACUGGCACUAUGCUGGGAAGGUUACGGAUUAAGCGAUGAUUCGAUAGCCAGGAGACCUGCCUAAAAUGUUAACGUCUU